Molecule: long non-coding RNA, 674 nt
Organism: Musca domestica (house fly)
Lineage: Eukaryota; Metazoa; Arthropoda; Insecta; Diptera; Muscidae
Exons: 2
Source: RefSeq, a predicted model, not a curated record
CCCUCGCUUCUCCCUCUUUUAGUGGAAAUUGUAGAAAAAAAUAGAGUAGUGGCAAGAAUAUAGAAAACAACGAUCGUCGCAUCGACUUUUUAAAGAUUUCAAUGUUGUUGAGUACUUGUUUUGUCGUAUGACCAAAAUAAACAUUAUGAAGGGACUGCCGGAACCAAUAUAUGUGAAGUCAAAAUGCUUAAACCCAGGUGUCACCCUGGUACAAUAAUUUGGCAAUCAACUAAUGAACGAAAAACCGAUUAACUAGUAUUCCAGGCUGUUAAAAUUUAAUUAAAUUACACAAAUUUAAAACAAUCCCUUUAUUUAUAAAAUCACGAAAAGAACAUGAGAGGGAUACUUCAAUUUGCUCCAUCGUACGCACGUGAUUACGAAUACUAAUUUGAAACACAUAUCCAACUAUUUUCCGAACAAUACGCUCAAUUUUAUUUUUAUUAACCUCAAAUCCGUAAUUAACGAAAGACAUCAAUAACGAAUAUGUUAUUGGUUUCUCACAAUUGUUGGUGAAUAGGCUAUAAAGUUUUCUAAGAAUAAUACAAACCUUAUUUGAAAUAUCAUUUAAGUGGCUACUGAAAUUAAGACCUGAAAUAAUAACUAUGCCUAGACAUUUUAUAGAAUCUACAGUGUGAAUAAAUGUGGCACCAAUGUGAUUUCUGAAACAACAUGAA